RNAcentral lists this ribosomal RNA (407 nucleotides) under uncultured bacterium. Its description in RNAcentral is "bacterial SSU rRNA". It matches the Rfam family "Bacterial small subunit ribosomal RNA", at positions 30 to 440 of the family's 1533-position model. The record is from RNAcentral.
AUUGAACGCUGGCGGCAUGCCUUACACAUGCAAGUCGAACGGCAGCGGGCCUUCGGGUGCCGGCGAGUGGCGAACGGGUGAGUAAUGCAUCGGAACGUGCCAUUGAGUGGGGGGAUAACGUAGCGAAAGUUACGCUAAUACCGCAUAUUCUGUGAGCAGGAAAGCAGGGGACCGCAAGGCCUUGCGCUCUUUGAGCGGCCGAUGUCAGAUUAGCUAGUUGGUGAGGUAAAGGCUUACCAAGGCGACGAUCUGUAGCGGGUCUGAGAGGAUGAUCCGCCACACUGGAACUGAGACACGGUCCAGACUCCUACGGGAGGCAGCAGUGGGGAAUUUUGGACAAUGGGCGCAACCCUGAUCCAGCCAUGCCGCGUGAGUGAAGAAGGCCUCGGUGUAAGACGUCUUUCGGU